Molecule: ribosomal RNA, 274 nt
Filed under: uncultured bacterium
Lineage: Bacteria
Description: partial 16S ribosomal RNA
Rfam family: Bacterial small subunit ribosomal RNA
Source: RNAcentral
AUACGGAGGGUCCAAGCGUUAUCCGGAAUCAUUGGGUUUAAAGGGUCCGCAGGCGGUCAAUUAAGUCAGAGGUGAUAGCCCAUCGCUCAACGAUGGAACUGCCUUUGAUACUGGUUGACUUGAGUUAUACGGAAGUAGAUAGAAUAAGUAGUGUAGCGGUGAAAUGCAUAGAUAUUACUUAGAAUACCGAUUGCGAAGGCAGUCUACUACGUAUAUACUGACGCUGAGGGACGAAAGCGUGGGGAGCGAACAGGAUUAGAAACCCUAGUAGUCC